UGGGGAAUAUUGCACAAUGGGCGCAAGCCUGAUGCAGCCAUGCCGCGUGUAUGAGGAAGGCCUUCGGGUUGUAAAGUACUUUCAGUCGGGAGGAAGGUGGUAAGGUUAAUAACCUUAUCAAUUGACGUUACCGACAGAAGAAGCACCGGCUAACUCCGUGCCAGCAGCCGCGGUAAUACGGAGGGUGCAAGCGUUAAUCGGAAUUACUGGGCGUAAAGCGCACGCAGGCGGUUGAUUGAGUCAGAUGUGAAAUCCCCGGGCUUAACCCGGGAAUUGCAUCUGAUACUGGUCAGCUAGAGUCUUGUAGAGGGGGGUAGAAUUCCAUGUGUAGCGGUGAAAUGCGUAGAGAUGUGGAGGAAUACCGGUGGCGAAGGCGGCCCCCUGGACAAAGACUGACGCUCAGGUGCGAAAGCGUGGGGAGCAAACAGG
This 429-nucleotide ribosomal RNA is filed under the name Acidobacteriota bacterium. RNAcentral's name for it is "Acidobacteria bacterium partial 16S ribosomal RNA". It matches the Rfam family "Bacterial small subunit ribosomal RNA", at positions 355 to 776 of the family's 1533-position model. Lineage: Bacteria; Pseudomonadati; Acidobacteriota. The record is from RNAcentral.